UGACCGGAGAAGGCAUCAGUUCAUGCACUGCACUGGCCUGCACCACGAUUAGUAUAAGACCAAAUCCCCUGUACACGUAUAGUGAGUCUGAGGAUGAGCAGCCCACAAAAAAACGGUGUCCCCAGGCCCCUCGAGUGAAAAUACCAGCCCUCACCACUCCGCAGUCCUCCCCCCAGCCCACUGACAGCAGGCAUCAUAAUGCCCCUCCCAGCUUCGAGCACCUUUCGCCACUCCGGCAGAACACUCCAAACGACACAGCUUUGCAAUCAGCAUGCAGAGUCUGAUGUCGAGGCCUUCCCUAUAGAUGAUUCCAGAGACUCUGUGAGGCCACUAUUACAAGAUGCUGUCAGACCUGACGAGAUCUCUUAACGAACUCCGUGAGGAGGUCAGAGCCAUCCGCAAUACCGGCUCCAAUGAAUCUGUAGAUGCUGGGGUACUCCCUUUGGAUUUGCCCUUGCACAACAUUGAGGAGAUAAAUAAUGCAGAGGCAGCUCUUCAAUCGCAAGAGGCAAAUAAGGCAAUGGUGAGACGCUUUGCCUUGAUUGGAGGGACCACACUGGAGGUGCGAGUCCGCCGUGUAAUGGCUUAUGCUAUUACAAACGAGCUGGCCUCACUACUAAACUGGGCAGGGAAAAAAACAAAGGACCAGACGAAGCGAAGAAGGGCAUUUAAAGAUACUGCGCUGUGCAGAUGCAUAUUUGAUGGCCUGACGCAGCAGUUAGGGGCAAACUCUAUGUCCGAGUUUGUCUUUGCACAGGCAGUGCAGAAAUGGCUCCGAUACGCCCCAGACCGUUUGGGUGGCGCAGGACGCACAUCAUCCGUCCCCAUCCCGGAGUAAAAACUACAAAGUUAUGUUAAAAUAUAAAUGUAAAUAGAAAACUGUUUUAAUAAAGUAUUUAGCAAAU
This is a long non-coding RNA of Oreochromis aureus, 905 nucleotides long. The record is from Ensembl. NCBI's taxonomy places the organism in Eukaryota, Metazoa, Chordata, Actinopteri, Cichliformes, Cichlidae.